This 373-nucleotide ribosomal RNA is filed under the name uncultured organism. Its description in RNAcentral is "bacterial SSU rRNA". It matches the Rfam family "Bacterial small subunit ribosomal RNA", at positions 526 to 896 of the family's 1533-position model. The record is from RNAcentral.
CGGAGGAGGCAAGCGUUGUUCGGAAUUACUGGGCGUAAAGGGCUCGUAGACGGCCAACUAAGUCGGACGUGAAAUCCCCCGGCUUAACCAGGGAACUGCGUCUGAUACUGAAUGGCUUGAGUUUGGGAGAGGGAUGCGGAAUUCCAGGUGUAGCGGUGAAAUGCGUAGAUAUCUGGAGGAACACCGGUGGCAAAGGCGACAUCCUAGACCAACACUGACGCUGAGUGAGCGAAAGCCAGAGGAGCAAACGGGAUUAGAUACCCCGGUAGUCCUGGCCCUAAACGAUGAAUGCUUGGUAUGGCAAGUAUCGAUCCCUGCCGUGCCGAAGCUAACGCAUUAAGCAUUCCGCCUGGGGAGUACGGUCGCAAGGCUG